Molecule: small RNA, 549 nt
Filed under: Histoplasma capsulatum
Lineage: Eukaryota; Fungi; Ascomycota; Eurotiomycetes; Onygenales; Ajellomycetaceae
Also listed under: 1 other name
Description: hypothetical RNA
Source: RNAcentral
CACCCAAAACACCACUAUUUCCUGCAUUCUAAGAUCAAUUUUCAUGUCUUGAAGUCGAUCAAAUCAUCAUCGAAACAUUUUUCUGCAAAGAGCAAGCUCUGUGAAAAGGCUCCUGCCUCUUGAUGGUAGGUAUAGAAAUGGGGAGGAUGAGUGAGAGAGGGGAAAGCAUGGAAGCGCAAUUUUCUAUAUUUAUCAUCUUGUACAGUUGGCGGAGGAAGACCGAGACAGCCAUUAUUCGUUCCUAGGAGGGUGUGAUACAUUGAAAUGAAAUGCAAACGACCCACGCUAUUCCGUCGCAGUUUCCAAUAAGCACCUAGUUUUGGACUUGGAGACCAUCAACACACGUCGAUCCAAUAGCUUCAUCGUUCAGCGUCAGCAGGUCCCAGCUCAAUUCCAAGGAGCAGAAAACUGACAAGAAAAAGAAGAAAAAGAGAAGAGAAAAGGAUCUUGACACGCAGCUGACGCUAUCUGUUGUGAUAUCUGCCUGGUUGACAGUGUAACGAGCAAAUAGUAUAGUUGAAAAUAAAUGAUUAAUAAUUAUAUACAAUA